Peromyscus maniculatus bairdii (prairie deer mouse) is the source of this 799-nucleotide non-coding RNA. The record is from RefSeq and is a predicted model, not a curated record. NCBI's taxonomy places the organism in Eukaryota, Metazoa, Chordata, Mammalia, Rodentia, Cricetidae.
GGGACGGACCUAGAAGAACCAGCACUAGAGAAGGAAGAGGCAGAUGCAUUGAUGGACAAACCAGGAAAGACAGCAUAGUCAUACAUGCUGGAUUGUAAUCCGGUUACACCGAAUCAUUUCACGCUAGACCGACUACGAAAAACGUACCGGGCCGUCCACCUCAGAGGGAGCCCCGAGAGCCAUUAUAAGCGGUGGGUGAUCGAUCGCGGCUACCAGCUUCCAGUACUGCCUAGAAGCUGAAGAGGAGGUGGGGUGCCGAGGAGAAAACGCCACCCGGUCACCCGCGCGUGAGCGCGAAUCUUGGAGUGAAGAGAGACAUACGGAGCGCGCACGUGUUACCUGCUUUAUUUCGGGACUGUUUGGUACUGUGUUCGCGCUGGGCAGCGCUCGGCCCGGAAGGCCGCCCCCGCACGCCGCCCUCAGCCAGCCCCGCUUCGCGGCCGAGCUCGCCGCCGAGGGCCUCGGAAACCAGUAAGUACCGGCCUGGCCGCGGCCGCCCCCGCCCCAUUUCCCAGGCCAGGCUCCCCCUCCCCGAGAAAGCCGGCUCUCCCCGGCCGCUGGCCCAUCCGCUCCGAGGGCGCUUCCCCGGCUGCUGCGUCUCUUAAGGUUCACGCCCUCUUCCCGCACCCUCACGGCUCGCCCCUCCGCCGCGCCCCCCGCUCUUAAGAGACAAAAUUGGAUACAAACUUUAAUCAAUAAGGAUAAAUAUUGACGCGCGAAAGGAAAAUAAUCCCAUACAGGGAGGAGGCCGCAGGCGAGCGGCCGGGGCCCGGGGCGCACGCCCCGCGCUAAUCCUGGC